AUACGUAGGGUGCAAGCGUUAAUCGGAAUUACUGGGCGUAAAGCGCGCGUAGGCGGCUGAUUAAGUCGGAUGUGAAAUCCCUGGGCUCAACCUAGGAACUGCAUCCGAUACUGGUCAGCUAGAGUUUUGGAGAGGUAAGUGGAAUUUCCGGUGUAGCGGUGAAAUGCAGAGAGAUCGGAAGGACCACCAGUGGCGAAGGCGACUUACUGGCCAAAAACUGACGCUGAGGUGCGAAAGCGUGGGUAGCGAACAGGAUUAGAAACCCCUGUAGUCC
Molecule: ribosomal RNA, 274 nt
Filed under: uncultured bacterium
Lineage: Bacteria
Description: partial 16S ribosomal RNA
Rfam family: Bacterial small subunit ribosomal RNA
Source: RNAcentral